Molecule: transfer RNA, 93 nt
Filed under: Scedosporium apiospermum
Lineage: Eukaryota; Fungi; Ascomycota; Sordariomycetes; Microascales; Microascaceae
Rfam family: tRNA
About the family: Transfer RNA (tRNA) molecules are approximately 80 nucleotides in length. Their secondary structure includes four short double-helical elements and three loops (D, anti-codon, and T loops). Further hydrogen bonds mediate the characteristic L-shaped molecular structure. tRNAs have two regions of fundamental functional importance: the anti-codon, which is responsible for specific mRNA codon recognition, and the 3' end, to which the tRNAs corresponding amino acid is attached (by aminoacyl-tRNA synthetases). tRNAs cope with the degeneracy of the genetic code in two manners: having more than one tRNA (with a specific anti-codon) for a particular amino acid; and 'wobble' base-pairing, i.e. permitting non-standard base-pairing at the 3rd anti-codon position.
Source: Rfam by way of RNAcentral
GCGGGGAUAGCUCAGUUGGGAGAGCGUCAGACUGAAGAAAAAACUUCGGUUCAGUCUAUCUGAAGGUCGUCGGUUCAAUCCCGACUCACCGCA